RNAcentral lists this ribosomal RNA (255 nucleotides) under uncultured bacterium. Its description in RNAcentral is "partial 16S ribosomal RNA". It matches the Rfam family "Bacterial small subunit ribosomal RNA", at positions 524 to 776 of the family's 1533-position model. The record is from RNAcentral.
UACAGAGGGUGCAAGCGUUGUUCGGAAUUACUGGGCGUAAAGCGCACGUAGGCGGACUGUUUAGUUGGGGGUGAAAGCCCAGGGCUCAACCCUGGAAUUGCCUCCAAUACUGGCAGUCUCGAGGCCGAGAGAGGUGAGUGGAACUCCGAGUGUAGAGGUGAAAUUCGUAGAUAUUCGGAAGAACACCAGUGGCGAAGGCGGCUCACUGGCGUCGGUACUGACGCUGGAGGUGCGAAAGCGUGGGGAGCAAACAGG